ACGCUCGACACCUACGGGAGGCNGCAGUGGGGAAUAUUGCACAAUGGGGGAAACCCGUGAUGCAGCGACGCCGCGUGAGCGAAGAAGUAUUUCGGUAUGUAAAGCUCUAUCAGCAGGGAAGAAACUGACGGUACCUGACUAAGAAGCACCGGCUAAAUACGUGCCAGCAGCCGGGGUAAUCUGAGCGGGCUGGCAAGGC
Molecule: ribosomal RNA, 199 nt
Filed under: uncultured bacterium
Lineage: Bacteria
Description: partial 16S ribosomal RNA
Rfam family: Bacterial small subunit ribosomal RNA
Source: RNAcentral